AACGAACGUUAGCGGCGCGCUUAACACAUGCAAGUCGAACGAGAAAGGGCUUCGGCCCCGGUACAGUGGCGCACGGGUGAGUAACACGUGGAUAACCUUCCCUAAAGUGGGGGAUAACAUUCCGAAAGGAGUGCUAAUACCGCAUAAGACCACGACUUCUACGGAAGUUGAGGUCAAAGCCGGCCUCUUCAUGAAAGCUGGCGCUAUGGGAUGGGUCCGCGGCCCAUCAGCUAGUUGGUAGGGUAAUGGCCUACCAAGGCGAAGACGGGUAGCUGGUCUUAGAGGAUGAUCAGCCACACUGGAACUGAGACACGGUCCAGACUCCUACGGGAGGCAGCAGUGGGGAAUCUUGCGCAAUGGACGAAAGUCUGACGCAGCGACGCCGCGUGAGUGAUGAAGGCCUUCGGGUUGUAAAGCUCUGUGGGGAGAGACGAAUAAGGUGCAGUUAAUAUCUGCAUCGAUGACGGUACCUCCUUAGCAAGCACCGGCUAACUCUGUG
RNAcentral lists this ribosomal RNA (499 nucleotides) under uncultured organism. Its description in RNAcentral is "bacterial SSU rRNA". It matches the Rfam family "Bacterial small subunit ribosomal RNA", at positions 29 to 507 of the family's 1533-position model. The record is from RNAcentral.